RNAcentral lists this ribosomal RNA (468 nucleotides) under uncultured bacterium. RNAcentral's name for it is "partial 16S ribosomal RNA". It matches the Rfam family "Bacterial small subunit ribosomal RNA", at positions 28 to 507 of the family's 1533-position model. The record is from RNAcentral.
GACGAACGCUGGCGGCGUUCUUAACACAUGCAAGUCGAACGGAAAGGCCCUGCUUUUGUGGGGUUCUCGAGUGGCGAACGGGUGAGUAACACGUGAUUAACCUGCCCUUGACUUUGGGAUAACUUCGGGAAACUGGGGCUAAUACCGGAUAGGAGCUCCUGCUGCAUGGUGGGGGUUGGAAAGUUUCGGCGGUUGGGGAUGGACUCGCGGCUUAUCAGCUUGUUGGUGGGGUAGUGGCUUACCAAGGAUUUGACGGGUAGCCGGCCUGAGAGGGUGACCGGCCAAAUUGGGACUGAGAUACGGCACAGACUCCUACGGGAGGCAGCAGUGGGGAAUAUUGAAAAAUGGGCGGAAGCCUGAUGCAGCAACGCCGCGUGCGGGAUGACGGCCUUCGGGUUGUAAACCGCUUUCGCCUGUGACGAAGCGUGAGUGACGGUAAUGGGUAAAGAAGCAACGGCUAACUAGGUG